RNAcentral lists this ribosomal RNA (254 nucleotides) under uncultured bacterium. RNAcentral describes it as "partial 16S ribosomal RNA". It matches the Rfam family "Bacterial small subunit ribosomal RNA", at positions 524 to 776 of the family's 1533-position model. The record is from RNAcentral.
CACGUAGGCACCAAGCGUUGUCCGGAUUUAUUGGGCGUAAAGAGCUCGUAGGCGGUUCGGUAAGUCGGGUGUGAAAACUUUGGGCUCAACCCAAAGCCUGCACUCGAUACUGCUGUGACUUGAGUCCGGUAGGGGAGUGGGGAAUUCCUGGUGUAGCGGUGGAAUGCGCAGAUAUCAGGAGGAACACCGGUGGCGAAGGCGCCACUCUGGGCCGGUACUGACGCUGAGACGCGAAAGCGUGGGGAGCAAACAGG